GACGAACGCUGGCGGCGUGCUUAACACAUGCAAGUCGAACGGAAAGGCCCUGCUUUUGUGGGGUGCUCGAGUGGCGAACGGGUGAGUAACACGUGAGUAACCUGCCCUUGACUUUGGGAUAACUUCAGGAAACUGGGGCUAAUACCGGAUAGGAGCUCCUGCUGCAUGGUGGGGGUUGGAAAGUUUCGGCGGUUGGGGAUGGACUCGCGGCUUAUCAGCUUGUUGGUGGGGUAGUGGCUUACCAAGGCUUUGACGGGUAGCCGGCCUGAGAGGGUGACCGGCCACAUUGGGACUGAGAUACGGCCCAGACUCCUACGGGAGGCAGCAGUGGGGAAUAUUGCACAAUGGGCGGAAGCCCGAUGCAGCAACGCCGCGUGCGGGAUGACGGCCUUCGGGUUGUAAACCGCUUUCGCCUGUGACGAAGCGUGAGUGACGGUAAUGGGUAAAGAAGCACCGGCUAACUACGUGCCAGCAGCCGCGGUGAUACGUAGGGUGCGAGCGUUGUCCGGAUUUAUUGGGCGUAAAGGGCUCGUAGGUGGUUGAUCGCGUCGGAAGUGUAAUCUUGGGGCUUAACCCUGAGCGUGCUUUCGAUACGGGUUGACUUGAGGAAGGUAGGGGAGAAUGGAAUUCCUGGUGGAGCGGUGGAAUGCGCAGAUAUCAGGAGGAACACCAGUGGCGAAGGCGGUUCUCUGGGCCUUUCCUGACGCUGAGGAGCGAAAGCGUGGGGAGCGAACAGGCUUAGAUACCCUGGUAGUCCACGCUGUAAACGGUGGGUACUAGGUGUGGGGUCCAUUCCACGGGUUCCGUGCCGUAGCUAACGCUUUAAGUACCCCGCCUGGGGAGUACGGCCGCAAGGCUAAAACUCAAAGGAAUUGACGGGGCCCCGCACAAGCGGCGGAGCAUGCGGAUUAAUUCGAUGCAACGCGUAGAACCUUACCUGGGGUUGACAUGGAUCGGGAGCGCUCAGAGAUGGGUGUGCCUCUUUUGGGGUCGGUUCACAGGUGGUGCAUGGCUGUCGUCAGCUCGUGUCGUGAGAUGUUGGGUUAAGUCCCGCAACGAGCGCAACCCUUGUUCACUGUUGCCAGCACGUUAUGGUGGGGACUCAGUGGAGACCGCCGGGGUCAACUCGGAGGAAGGUGGGGAUGACGUCAAGUCAUCAUGCCCCUUAUGUCCAGGGCUUCACGCAUGCUACAAUGGCUGGUACAGAGAGUGGCGAGCCUGUGAGGGUGAGCGAAUCUCGGAAAGCCGGUCUCAGUUCGGAUUGGGGUCUGCAACUCGACCUCAUGAAGUCGGAGUCGCUAGUAAUCGCAGAUCAGCAACGCUGCGGUGAAUACGUUCCCGGGGCU
This 1346-nucleotide ribosomal RNA is filed under the name uncultured bacterium. RNAcentral's name for it is "bacterial SSU rRNA". It matches the Rfam family "Bacterial small subunit ribosomal RNA", at positions 28 to 1381 of the family's 1533-position model. The record is from RNAcentral.